GCAGGGCGCUGCUAUACAUGCAGUCGAACGAGCUCUGGUAUUGAUUGGUGCUUGCAUCAUGAUUUACAUUUGAGUGAGUGGCGAACUGGUGAGUAACACGUGGGAAACCUGCCCAGAAGCGGGGGAUAACACCUGGAAACAGAUGCUAAUACCGCAUAACAACUUGGACCGCAUGGUCCGAGCUUGAAAGAUGGCUUCGGCUAUCACUUUUGGAUGGUCCCGCGGCGUAUUAGCUAGAUGGUGGGGUAACGGCUCACCAUGGCAAUGAUACGUAGCCGACCUGAGAGGGUAAUCGGCCACAUUGGGACUGAGACACGGCCCAAACUCCUACGGGAGGCAGCAGUAGGGAAUCUUCCACAAUGGACGAAAGUCUGAUGGAGCAACGCCGCGUGAGUGAAGAAGGGUUUCGGCUCGUAAAACUCUGUUGUUAAAGAAGAACAUAUCUGAGAGUAACUGUUCAGGUAUUGACGGUAUUUAACCAGAAAGCCACGGCUAACUACGUGCCAGCAGCCGCGGUAAUACGUAGGUGGCAAGCGUUGUCCGGAUUUAUUGGGCGUAAAGCGAGCGCAGGCGGUUUUUUAAGUCUGAUGUGAAAGCCUUCGGCUCAACCGAAGAAGUGCAUCGGAAACUGGGAAACUUGAGUGCAGAAGAGGACAGUGGAACUCCAUGUGUAGCGGUGAAAUGCGUAGAUAUAUGGAAGAACACCAGUGGCGAAGGCGGCUGUCUGGUCUGUAACUGACGCUGAGGCUCGAAAGUAUGGGUAGCAAACAGGAUUAGAUACCCUGGUAGUCCAUACCGUAAACGAUGAAUGCUAAGUGUUGGAGGGUUUCCGCCCUUCAGUGCUGCAGCUAACGCAUUAAGCAUUCCGCCUGGGGAGUACGGCCGCAAGGCUGAAACUCAAGGAAUUGACGGGGGCCCGCACAAGCGGUGGAGCAUGUGGUUUAAUUCGAAGCUACGCGAAGACCUUACCAGGUCUUGACAUACUAUGCUAAUCUAAGAGAUAGACGUUCCCUUCGGGACAUGGAUACAGUGUUGCAUGAGUCGUCAGCUCGUGUCGUGAGAUGGUGGUUAGUCCCGCACGAGCGCACCCAUAUAUCAGUGGCAGCAUUAGUUGGGCACUCUGGUGAACUGCAGGUGACCACCGAGAACGGUGGAUGACGUCAAUCAUCAUGCCUUAUGGACUGGGGCUACACAGCGUGGCGUCGCA
RNAcentral lists this ribosomal RNA (1207 nucleotides) under Lactiplantibacillus plantarum. RNAcentral describes it as "bacterial SSU rRNA". It matches the Rfam family "Bacterial small subunit ribosomal RNA", at positions 39 to 1231 of the family's 1533-position model. The record is from RNAcentral. Lineage: Bacteria; Bacillati; Bacillota; Bacilli; Lactobacillales; Lactobacillaceae.